Triticum aestivum (bread wheat) is the source of this 138-nucleotide non-coding RNA. The record is from Rfam. Lineage: Eukaryota; Viridiplantae; Streptophyta; Magnoliopsida; Poales; Poaceae.
UGUGUACUCCCUCCGUUCCAAAAUACUUGACCUCCAUUUGUCCAAAAAUGGAUGUACCUAUAUACUAAAACAUGUCUAGAUACAUAUAUAUUUUUUGACAAAUAGAAGGCAUGUAUUGUGCAACGGAGGGAGUAGAAU